RNAcentral lists this ribosomal RNA (492 nucleotides) under uncultured bacterium. Its description in RNAcentral is "partial 16S ribosomal RNA". It matches the Rfam family "Bacterial small subunit ribosomal RNA", at positions 29 to 507 of the family's 1533-position model. The record is from RNAcentral.
AGUGAACGCUGGCGGUAGGCCUAACACAUGCAAGUCGAACGGCAGCACAGUAAGAGCUUGCUCUUACGGGUGGCGAGUGGCGGACGGGUGAGGAAUACGUCGGGAUCUACUUUUUCGUGGGGGAUAACGUAGGGAAACUUACGCUAAUACCGCAUACGACCUACGGGUGAAAGCAGGGGAUCUUCGGACCUUGCGCGAUUGAAUGAGCCGAUGUCGGAUUAGCUAGUUGGCGGGGUAAAGGCCCACCAAGGCGACGAUCCGUAGCUGGUCUGAGAGGAUGAUCAGCCACACUGGAACUGAGACACGGUCCAGACUCCUACGGGAGGCAGCAGUGGGGAAUAUUGGACAAUGGGCGCAAGCCUGAUCCAGCCAUACCGCGUGGGUGAAGAAGGCCUUCGGGUUGUAAAGCCCUUUUGUUGGGAAAGAAAAGCAGCAGGUUAAUACCCCGCUGUUCUGACGGUACCCAAAGAAUAAGCACCGGCUAACUUCGUG